Molecule: ribosomal RNA, 426 nt
Filed under: uncultured bacterium
Lineage: Bacteria
Description: bacterial SSU rRNA
Rfam family: Bacterial small subunit ribosomal RNA
Source: RNAcentral
GCAAGGAAUCUUGCGCAAUGGGCGAAAGCCUGACGCAGCGACGCCGCGUGGGGGAUGAAGGCCUUAGGGUUGUAAACCCCUUUUCUCGGGGAAGAAUAAUGACGGUACUCGAGGAAUAAGUCACGGCUAACUACGUGCCAGCAGCCGCGGUAAUACGUAGGUGGCAAACGUUAUCCGGAUUUACUGGGCGUAAAGAGGGCGCGGGCGGCACCUUAAGUCGGGUGUGAAAUCUCCUGACUCAAUCAGGAUAGGUCAUCCGAUACUGGGGAGCUUGAGGGCAGCAGAGGGAGAUGGAAUUCCCGGUGUAGUGGUGAUAUGCGUAGAUAUCGGGAGGAACACCAGUGGCGAAGGCGGUCUCCUAGGCUGUUCCUGACGCUGAGGCCCGAAAGCGUGGGGAGCAAACCGGAUUAGAUACCCGAGUAGUCC